UCUUAUCAAGAGAGGUGGAGGGAUAAGGGCCCUGUGAUACCCAGCAACCAGCUUUUAGUAUUGGUGCUAAAUCCCCCGUUUUUACGGAAGAUGAGG
Molecule: non-coding RNA, 96 nt
Filed under: chicken gut metagenome
Description: SAM riboswitch (S box leader)
Rfam family: SAM riboswitch aptamer (S box leader)
About the family: The SAM riboswitch is found upstream of a number of genes which code for proteins involved in methionine or cysteine biosynthesis in Gram-positive bacteria. The SAM riboswitch acts at the level of transcription termination control.
Source: RNAcentral